GGCAGGGGCGGGGGGAUUUGAGAAGCAAAUGAAGUUCACAGCCCAGGGGCACAGGCUCAGGGAAGACUGAGAUCCAAUCGCAGGCUGCAGCCACCCUACCACCAGGCCAUGGCCACCUCAGUCCCUUAUCAAAGGCCUAUGUACCCAGCUUCCUUUCAUCUAGUUCAUUAUGUCUGGCUUUAAAAAAUAAAAGUCACAAGACAUACUGAUCAGCAAAAAACAGUUUGAAGACACAAAGCAAGCAUCACACAGAGACUCUGAUACAGCAGGGACUUAGAAUUAUCAGACUGGGAACUUGCAAUGACUGUAAUUAACAUGCUAAGGUCUCUCAUAGAUCGAGCACACAGCAAGCAAGAACAGAUGCUCAAUGUAAGCAGAGAGGUGGAAAUGCUAAGACCCGAAAAGCAAUGCUAGAGAUAAAAAACACCAUAACAGAAAUGGAGAGUGCCUUUGGAACAGGCCAUCAAGGAAAGAGGCGCCUUUCUCUGAAGGGAGGAAGGAACCUCCACUGUGAUACGGCCUUGAUUAAACAAGUUCAGAGUUGGUGAACUCAAGGGGCUUCCAUAGCCUAGACAGCUCAUAGAAGAGUCUUGGGUGAUUGCUGACAUCAUAAAUAAGAGUGCCAAUUGUUAAAUCAACAAUGGGAGUCACUGGGUACAUGCUCCCCAUGUAGGAUCUCUGUCCUUAAUGUGUUUAACUAUGAAACUCAAAAACAACACUACUAGUCGAACAAUACCCUAUACCUUGUGCGGUUGUGUGAGUGCAGCCUGUUGAAAUCCCUGCUUAGUAUAUACUAAGUUGAUCUUCAGUAUAUGAAGAUAAAAAGAAAUGUCAAAAGAAGUUCUUCAGAGAGAAGGAAAAUGAUACAGAUACUCAGAUGUACCUAAAAAAAUAACAUCAGAGAAAGAAUGAGUGGAGGAGCCAGUUCUUUAGCAGAUGUGUUGAUAACAGUUGACUUUACAUCAUAGCAUUUAAGUUGCAGAUCAGAAGAACAGGAAACUCCAGCGGGGGCCUUGCAUCUUCUUCUGGGGAAAGGGUGGGCAAGUUCUCCAUGGAUGGGAUAACUGCAUCACGGCAGACAGAUGUAUGGCUUUUGUCUUUAUUUGGGGAUUAGGCAUGGCUUAGGGCAAUGUGUGUGGGUACCCCACUGACAAGGGGUGAGUUAUAAACGUUAGUUUUGGAUGUCAACUUGGGUAGGCCAUGGCACCAAGUUACUCUCAAGAGAACAAUUAGAUUUGUGUCUAGAUUAGUGUUCCUGGACAGGUAUUUUGUACAUGUGACUACAUGUAUCCAUAGCUGGCUAACUUGCAGGAGAAGACAUUAUGCUCUGUAUUUGUGUGAGCCUCAUCCAAUCAGUCGAAAGCCCUUAAAAGAAGAACUGAGGUUUCCCUGGGAAGAAGAAAUUUACUGGUAGACUCUGCCAACCCCACCUUAUAAAUUUUGGAGCUGUGUAGCCAGCCCUCACCAUCACACAAGCUAAUUCCCUGCUAGAAGCAGGGAAUACAUUAAAUACCCCGCUGGCUCUGUUUUCCUGGUAAAACACCACUGAUACGAGUUGCCACACAGAGAAACUGCAAUGCAGGAAGGCUCGCAGUGAAGAACAGCACUGGAAGGGCCGGCACGGGCAGGGCCAGCGUGCAUUAAAGGAGCAGGAAAGAGGCCAGUGUGGCCAGAUGAGAGUGAGCAAGGGGGAGAAAGGAAAGAGAGGAGGUUGCAUGAUUAACCACAAGAAGGGGCAAGGAGAGUACAGGCUGUGAGCGCAUCGGCAUCCUUAGCCUUCUUAUCCAGAAACUGAGCCACAACAUGACCAGAAAUGAUGCUGCCGUCAUCCAGACGUCUUCUCCUUCUCUGACAGGACACAAACAAGCGCUCCCCAAUCCCACUGCUGGCUGAAGCUGCCGUCUGCUACAGAGACCCUCCGUACUUAACUCAUACAACAUUCAUUCCCGCACACAUCCAGAAAACCCGCUGGGGGCUGCAGCACACAGGGAGUUUCUUCCUUAGCAAUACAGGAGCCAGGAGUCAGGUCAGAAAGAGACCCACCGUCCAAGCAUGAAUCAAGGACUGCACUGGCCACCUCCAGGCAGAGGGAUAGCUCAUAUUGCCACAUCUGGGUAAGAUGGAGGUUUGCCGGGUAGAGGAUUUCAUGCCCCUAAUCGGGACCAUUCACUGAAAAACAAGGCACAACUAAAGGUAGAUGAUAGUGACUGGGGUACAGCAAACCUGAUAAAGCAUAUUCUAGAGGCUUCUCACUUAUCCUAGCAAAAGGGAAAACACCACCACCACCAAGUUUCCUUACCACAAAACUUAUCCACAUAACAGUAAUUUUAAGUAUAUUUAUUAAGAUGGAAAAACAUUCCUGGUUAUAUAAAGGCAAGAGAAGACAACACACUGCUUCUCAGGAACACCCCGACUUCAUAAACAUUAACAUGGGAAAAAUUUAAUUUCUUAGCCUUUAGGACAAAGGAUGUAUGCAAAGAAAUGCAUAAAUGCACACCCCAAAAAAAGUGUAAUAAUAGCAUGUCAUUAGCAGGAUUAUAAGUGAUUUUUAUUUUCUUCUUUUUCUUCCUAUGACUUCUUUUUCCAUAACAGUAUGAAUUGCUCAAAUAACAAAACUGUCUAUAGCCAAUAAGUAAAACUCCACAUGUAUUUAGCACUUCUCGCUCCUUCCUUACGCACAUAAAAAAGUGGUUUGACACCUGAAAUCUCAAGCAAGUCGGAGUCAGUUUCUCCAGCCUGCUUUUACCUAUGGUAAAGUAGAAAACGCAAAGCAGCUGGACCACUCACCUGAAGUCAGCCUCUGUGAGGAGCAGCCCCGCCAAGACAGGCGUCUGGGGAUCCCAAAAGUCCCGUCCACGCCAACACAGCAGCUCUGAACCACUGUCUCUGGCCACACCUGCUGGGAGCGAGCCUUGCGAAGAGCCGCCCCUUGCGCUUACCUCUGCC
Molecule: non-coding RNA, 2946 nt
Organism: Oryctolagus cuniculus (rabbit)
Lineage: Eukaryota; Metazoa; Chordata; Mammalia; Lagomorpha; Leporidae
Source: RefSeq, a predicted model, not a curated record